This 297-nucleotide small nuclear RNA is filed under the name Neotoma lepida (desert woodrat). RNAcentral's name for it is "7SK RNA". It matches the Rfam family "7SK RNA". From Rfam's summary of the family: 7SK was discovered as an abundant small nuclear RNA in the mid-70s but a possible function has only recently been suggested. Two independent studies have found that 7SK RNA binds the CDK9/cyclin T complex (known as elongation factor P-TEFb). Lineage: Eukaryota; Metazoa; Chordata; Mammalia; Rodentia; Cricetidae. The record is from Rfam by way of RNAcentral.
GGAAGUGAGGACAAUGUGUCUGUGAGACUUGGUACCACAUUGAUUUCAAGGUUUGGUUUGAUUUGGUUGCUGUGGUAGGCUAGGUGUGUGUCCAUUUCCUCACUUUGCUCCAAGCGUCUCUUUUACAAAGCUGUGCACUUGGUGGGAGGGGAUGACAUUUUUGCUGAGAGGAAGACCAUUCUUUAGUCAAGGGUAUGUAAGCAGCUGUGCUCUCUGCAGGAACCUCAAACAGGCCUCAAGAAAUAAUACAUGCAAAGGAAGCCCGGAUGCUCUGUAACUGUGUUCAGCAGCCUCUCC